CCCUUAGAUGUUCUGGGCCGCACACGCGCUACACUGAAGGAGGCAGCGUGUACUCCUGGAUCGAAAGAUUUGGGUAACCCGCGAAUCUCCUUCGUGCUAGGGAUUGAGGUUUGCAAUUAUCCUUCAUGAACGAGGAAUUCCCAGUAAGUGCAAGUCAUAAGCUUGCGCUGACUACGUCCCUGCCCUUCGUACACACCGCCCGUCGCUACUACCGAUUGAAUGAUUUAGUGAGGACUUCGGACUGGGACCGAUGCGGCUUUCGGGCUGCGUCGGUAUUCUGGAAAGAUGUCCAAACUGUNUNAUUUAGNGGAAGUAAAANUCGUANCA
Molecule: ribosomal RNA, 327 nt
Filed under: uncultured eukaryote
Lineage: Eukaryota
Description: partial 18S ribosomal RNA
Rfam family: Eukaryotic small subunit ribosomal RNA
Source: RNAcentral